Molecule: non-coding RNA, 108 nt
Organism: Myotisia sp. PD_48
Lineage: Eukaryota; Fungi; Ascomycota; Eurotiomycetes; Onygenales
Source: the annotation of a GenBank genome assembly
GGCAAGAUGGCCGAGCGGUUAAGGCGUCAGGUUAAGGUUCACCUUAGCAUAACAAGUUUAUAUCCUGAUCUCCGAAAGGGGGCCUGGGUUCGAGUCCCAGUCUUGUCA